UCCUCAUUACAUAAAAAUUUCAGCCGUAGCACAACCUUCUCUCUGAUCUCUCACUUUCUCUCUCUAUUGACAGCCAUGGCCAUCACCACUCACCCCACCAGUGACGGACAACCAGCAAUAUCCUCCUCAUCCCUCUCGUCUUUACCUCCGUCCCUUGUUACCAAGCGUCACUAGCCAUCCACCGGGCAACUUCUAGCACCACCAAUAAAGCCGAUAAUGGCUUCCGCUCUACUCUUUUUCCCAUUUUGACAAACCAAACACCAGCGUACAGUGCUGCCACCACUGGCAACCAAUAAGAACUGCCAAAACAGCUCCAAAAUCAGCCGGCUACCAUGGCCGAUGAACGGUGAACCGUACCUAUCCUAUAAAUCAGCCUCCACCGAAUCAACAGCCAGAUUUUCUACCGCCACCAAUCACUGCCUCCACCAUUGAUAAAUCUCCACCAAUAAAUAACAUCGCAAUCCGACUAUUCCGGCCAAAUUUGGUAGAAAACAAGUAUAAAUUCCAUAAUAGAUUUUUAUAAAUCCAUCUCAGGUUGGGAUUUGAAGAGUCGCUCGAAGGGUUUGGGAGGGACUACAUUACUCCCUUCUAGUUUAGUUGUUUCUUUCUCUUUAUAUUGGCCUGUAAUGUUGUAUAAAUGCUAUUUUAUUGUAAUAAUAAUAAUUGGGGACUGCAUGGGGGCGGAAAUUUACGUGCUCUAGUAAUCACGUAGGCAACAUAACUUAAGUUUAUGUAUUUAUGUGCUUUUAUGUGUUUAUGUGAAUCUCUCAA
This is a long non-coding RNA of Capsicum annuum, 771 nucleotides long. RefSeq lists it as uncharacterized. The record is from RefSeq and is a predicted model, not a curated record. NCBI's taxonomy places the organism in Eukaryota, Viridiplantae, Streptophyta, Magnoliopsida, Solanales, Solanaceae. The transcript has 2 exons.